AAGGUUCUUCGGGGCAGGGUGUAAUUCCCGACCGGCGGUAUAGUCCGCGACCCGUCCUUGUGGCGGCUGAAUUGGUGCAAUUCCAAUACCGACAGUAAAGUCUGGAUGUGAGAAGAAUUCG
This is a regulatory RNA element of Acetivibrio ethanolgignens, 121 nucleotides long. It matches the Rfam family "FMN riboswitch aptamer (RFN element)". From Rfam's summary of the family: The RFN element is a highly conserved domain that is found frequently in the 5'-untranslated regions of prokaryotic mRNAs that encode for flavin mononucleotide (FMN) biosynthesis and transport proteins. This element is a metabolite-dependent riboswitch that directly binds FMN in the absence of proteins. In Bacillus subtilis, the riboswitch most likely controls gene expression by causing premature transcription termination within the 5' untranslated region of the ribDEAHT operon and precluding access to the ribosome-binding site of ypaA mRNA. The record is from Rfam. NCBI's taxonomy places the organism in Bacteria, Bacillati, Bacillota, Clostridia, Acetivibrionales, Acetivibrionaceae.